GAUGAACGCUGGCGGCGUGCCUAAUACAUGCAAGUCGAGCGAACGGACGAGAAGCUUGCUUCCCUGAUGUUAGCGGCGGACGGGUGAGUAACACGUGGAUAACCCACCUAUAAGACUGGGAUAACUUCGGGAAACCGGAGCUAAUACCGGAUAAUAUUUUGAACCGCAUGGUUCAAAAGUGAAAGACGGUCUUGCUGUCACUUAUAGAUGGAUCCGCGCUGCAUUAGCUAGUUGGUAAGGUAACGGCUUACCAAGGCAACGAUGCAUAGCCGACCUGAGAGGGUGAUCGGCCACACUGGAACUGAGACACGGUCCAGACUCCUACGGGAGGCAGCAGUAGGGAAUGUUCCGCAAUGGGCGAAAGCCUGACGGAGCAACGCCGCGUGAGUGAUGAAGGUCUUCGGAUCGUAAAACUCUGUUAUUAGGGAAGAACAUAUGUGUAAGUAACUGUGCACAUCUUGACGGUACCUAAUCAGAAAGCCACGGCUAACUACGUG
This 497-nucleotide ribosomal RNA is filed under the name uncultured bacterium. Its description in RNAcentral is "partial 16S ribosomal RNA". It matches the Rfam family "Bacterial small subunit ribosomal RNA", at positions 28 to 507 of the family's 1533-position model. The record is from RNAcentral.